This is a non-coding RNA of Pseudonaja textilis, 93 nucleotides long. The record is from RefSeq and is a predicted model, not a curated record. Lineage: Eukaryota; Metazoa; Chordata; Lepidosauria; Squamata; Elapidae.
AACAACUUCAGCCUCUUGAAAACUGAAUGUGUGAUUAUGCUCCUGUAUAUGUACCCAGAUCUGAGAGCGCUGUUCUUUGCAUCGGACAGCCAG